RNAcentral lists this ribosomal RNA (943 nucleotides) under Weissella confusa. RNAcentral describes it as "bacterial SSU rRNA". It matches the Rfam family "Bacterial small subunit ribosomal RNA", at positions 51 to 947 of the family's 1533-position model. Lineage: Bacteria; Bacillati; Bacillota; Bacilli; Lactobacillales; Lactobacillaceae. The record is from RNAcentral.
CUAUAAUGCAGUCGAACGCUUUGUGGUUCAACUGAUUUGAAGAGCUUGCUCAGAUAUGACGAUGGACAUUGCAAAGAGUGGCGAACGGGUGAGUAACACGUGGGAAACCUACCUCUUAGCAGGGGAUAACAUUUGGAAACAGAUGCUAAUACCGUAUAACAAUGACAACCGCAUGGUUGUUAUUUAAAAGAUGGUUCUGCUAUCACUAAGAGAUGGUCCCGCGGUGCAUUAGCUAGUUGGUAAGGUAAUGGCUUACCAAGGCGAUGAUGCAUAGCCGAGUUGAGAGACUGAUCGGCCACAAUGGGACUGAGACACGGCCCAUACUCCUACGGGAGGCAGCAGUAGGGAAUCUUCCACAAUGGGCGAAAGCCUGAUGGAGCAACGCCGCGUGUGUGAUGAAGGGUUUCGGCUCGUAAAACACUGUUGUAAGAGAAGAAUGACAUUGAGAGUAACUGUUCAAUGUGUGACGGUAUCUUACCAGAAAGGAACGGCUAAAUACGUGCCAGCAGCCGCGGUAAUACGUAUGUUCCAAGCGUUAUCCGGAUUUAUUGGGCGUAAAGCGAGCGCAGACGGUUAUUUAAGUCUGAAGUGAAAGCCCUCAGCUCAACUGAGGAAUUGCUUUGGAAACUGGAUGACUUGAGUGCAGUAGAGGAAAGUGGAACUCCAUGUGUAGCGGUGAAAUGCGUAGAUAUAUGGAAGAACACCAGUGGCGAAGGCGGCUUUCUGGACUGUAACUGACGUUGAGGCUCGAAAGUGUGGGUAGCAAACAGGAUUAGAUACCCUGGUAGUCCACACCGUAAACGAUGAGUGCUAGGUGUUUGAGGGUUUCCGCCCUUAAGUGCCGCAGCUAACGCAUUAAGCACUCCGCCUGGGGAGUACGACCGCAAGGUUGAAACUCAAAGGAAUUGACGGGGACCCGCACAAGCGGUGGAGCAUGUGGUUU